GAUGAACGCUGGCGGCGUGCUUAACACAUGCAAGUCGAACGGGAUCCAUCAAGCUUGCUUGGUGGUGAGAGUGGCGAACGGGUGAGUAAUGCGUGACCGACCUGCCCCAUACACCGGAAUAGCUCCUGGAAACGGGUGGUAAUGCCGGAUGUUCCAGUUGAUCGCAUGGUCUUCCGGGAAAGCUUUCGCGGUAUGGGAUGGGGUCGCGUCCUAUCAGCUUGACGGCGGGGUAACGGCCCACCGUGGCUUCGACGGGUAGCCGGCCUGAGAGGGCGACCGGCCACAUUGGGACUGAGAUACGGCCCAGACUCCUACGGGAGGCAGCAGUGGGGAAUAUUGCACAAUGGGCGCAAGCCUGAUGCAGCGACGCCGCGUGAGGGAUGGAGGCCUUCGGGUUGUAAACCUCUUUUAUCGGGGAGCAAGCGUGAGUGAGUUUACCCGUUGAAUAAGCACCGGCUAACUACGUGCCAGCCGCCGCGGUAA
RNAcentral lists this ribosomal RNA (483 nucleotides) under uncultured bacterium. RNAcentral describes it as "partial 16S ribosomal RNA". It matches the Rfam family "Bacterial small subunit ribosomal RNA", at positions 28 to 523 of the family's 1533-position model. The record is from RNAcentral.